RNAcentral lists this ribosomal RNA (700 nucleotides) under uncultured bacterium. Its description in RNAcentral is "bacterial SSU rRNA". It matches the Rfam family "Bacterial small subunit ribosomal RNA", at positions 94 to 827 of the family's 1533-position model. The record is from RNAcentral.
AGCGGCGAAAGGGAUAGUAACACGUAGAUCACGUGCCCUCGGGUCAGGGAUAGCGUCGGGAAACUGACGGUAAUACCAGAUAAUGUCUCCGGACCAAAGAUUUAUUGCCCGAGGAGCGGUCUGCGUCCUAUUAGCUAGUUGGUGGGGUAAUAGCCUACCAAGGCGAAGAUGGGUAGCGGGUGUGAGAGCACGACCCGCAUCACUGGGACUGAGAUACUGCCCAGACACCUACGGGUGGCUGCAGUCGAGAAUCUUCCGCAAUGGACGAAAGUCUGACGGAGCGACGCCGCGUGCGGGAUGAAGGCCCUCGGGUUGUAAACCGCUGUCGUAGGGGAGCAAAUUUUGAGCGAUCCUAGGAGGAAGCACCGGCUAAACUCGUGCCAGCAGCCGCGGUAAUACGAGUGGUGCAAACGUUAUUCGGAAUCACUGGGCUUAAAGGGUGCGUAGGCGGCCAUGAAGGUCUGAUGUGAAAUACCACGGCUCAACCGUGGAAUGGCAUUGGAAACCACAUGGCUGGAGUGAGACAGAGGUGAGCGGAACAGAUGGUGGAGCGGUGAAAUGCGUUGAUAUCAUCUGGAACACCGGUGGCGAAAGCGGCUCACUGGGUCUUUACUGACGCUGAGGCACGAAAGCCAGGGGAGCAAACGGGAUUAGAUACCCCGGUAGUCCUGGCUGUAAACGAUGAGUACUAGUCCGAGGG